UGUGAACUGUCCUUUUUCGGUUAUCAUGGUACCGGUGCUGUAUGUACGAAAGGUACAGUACUGUGAUAACUGAAGAAUGAUAGUGCCAUC
RNAcentral lists this microRNA precursor (90 nucleotides) under Python bivittatus (Burmese python). Its description in RNAcentral is "microRNA pbv-mir-101 precursor (pbv-mir-101-2)". Its record names the gene pbv-mir-101-2. The stretch from base 8 to 82 matches the Rfam family "mir-101 microRNA precursor family". From Rfam's summary of the family: The hairpin precursors (represented here) are predicted based on base pairing and cross-species conservation -- their extents are not known. In this case the mature sequence is excised from the 3' arm of the hairpin. The record is from miRBase by way of RNAcentral. Lineage: Eukaryota; Metazoa; Chordata; Lepidosauria; Squamata; Pythonidae.